UACGUAGGGUGCGAGCGUUGUCCGGAAUUAUUAGGCGUAAAGGGCUCGUAGGCGGUUUGUCGCGUCGGGAGUGAAAUCCACUGGCUUAACUGGUGGCUUGCUUUCGAUACGGGCAGACUGGAGGUAUGCAGGGGAGAACGGAAUUCCUGGUGUAGCGGUGAAAUGCGCAGAUAUCAGGAGGAACACCGGUGGCGAAGGCGGUUCUCUGGGCAUGUCCUGACGCUGAGGAGCGAAAGUGUGGGGAGCGAACAGG
This 253-nucleotide ribosomal RNA is filed under the name uncultured bacterium. RNAcentral's name for it is "partial 16S ribosomal RNA". It matches the Rfam family "Bacterial small subunit ribosomal RNA", at positions 524 to 776 of the family's 1533-position model. The record is from RNAcentral.